GGCAAACAAUAAUUUAUUGUAACCGAUUUCCUUUAACCCACAGUAUAUUUCUUUCAGGUGUAUUUGCCCAGAGUGGUACUACUGAAAGUGGUGACAAGAACAGAAAUCUAUGAAGCAAGGCUAUGAAGAAAUCUUUUAAUCACAGAACCAAGGAGUCUAACUUUGAAAAAUCAAGCAAAACAGAUUACCAUAUGUUCUCAAAUGAGAUCGUAAACAUGAACCCCAAACCAUUCUCAUGUUCUGAAUGUGGGAAAUGUUUUAGGCAAUACUCCAAACUUCUUACACAUCAGAAAACUCACACAGGAGAGAAGCCCUUCUCAUGUUCUGAAUGCGGGAAAUGUUAUAGCUGUAACUCAACUCUUAUUGCACAUCAGAGAACUCACACAGGAGAGUACCCAUUCUCAUGUUCUGAAUGUGGAAAAUGUUUUAGCUAUAACAAUACUCUUAUUGUACAUCAAAGAACUCACACAGGAGAGAAACCGUUCUUGUGUUCUGAAUGUGGAAAAUGUUUUGUCUGUAAACAACAUCUUAUUAGACAUCAGAGAAUACACACGGGAGAGAAACCAUUCUCAUGUUCUGAAUGUGGAAAAUGUUUUCGCUAUGGCUCCACUCUAAUUGCACAUCAGAGAAUUCACACAGGAGAGAACCCGUUUUCAUGUUCUGAAUGUGAAAAAUGCUUUGUUACUAAAGCACAUCUUGUCUGUCAUCAGAGAUUUCACUCAGGAGAGAAACUUAUCUCAUGUUCUGAAUGUGAAAGAUGUUUUGUCGCUAAAUCAAAGCUUGUCCGCCAUCAGAGAUCUCACACAGGAGAGAAACCGUUCUCAUGCUCUGAAUGUGGAAAAUGCUUUGUCACUAAAGCAGAUCUUGUCCGUCAUCAGAGAUUUCACUCAGGAGAGAAACUGUUCUCAUGUUCUGAAUGUGAAAAAUGUUUUGUCUCUAAAUCAGAGCUUGUCCGCCAUCAGAGAUCUCACACAGGAGAGAAACCGUUCUCAUGUUCUGAAUGUGAAAAAUGUUUUGUCACUAAAUCAGAGCUUGUCCGCCAUCAGAGAAUACACACAGGAGAGCAACUGUUCUCAUGUUCUGAAUGUGAAAAAUGUUUUGACACUAAAUCAAAGCUUGUCCGUCAUCAGAGAACUCACACAGGAGAGAAACCGUUCUCAUGUUCUGAAUGUGAAAAAUGUUUUGUCUCUAAAUCAGAGCUUGUCCGCCAUCAGAGAUCUCACACAGGAGAGAAACCGUUCUCAUGUUCUGAAUGUGAAAAAUGUUUUGUCACUAAAUCAGAGCUUGUCCGCCAUCAGAGAAUACACACAGGAGAGCAACUGUUCUCAUGUUCUGAAUGUGAAAAAUGUUUUGACACUAAAUCAAAGCUUGUCCGUCAUCAGAGAACUCACACAGGAGAGAAACCGUUCUCAUGUUCUGAAUGUGAAAAAUGUUUUGACACUAAAUCAAAGCUUGUCUGUCAUCAGAGAAUUCACACAGGAGAAAAACCGUUCUCAUGUUCUGAAUGUGAAAAAUUUUAUAGGCAUUACCCAAGUCUUGUUAAACACCGGAAAACUCACACAGGAGAGAAACCAUUCUCGUGUUCUGAAUGUAGAAAAUAUUUUGUUAUGAAAGCAGAUCUGGUCAGUCAUCAGAGAAUACACACAGGAGAGAAACCGUUCUCAUGUUCUGAAUGUGAAAGAUGUUUUAGCUUUAAUUCAAGUCUCGUUAAACAUCGGAGAACUCACAAGAGAGAAACCGUUCUCAUGUUCUGAAUGUGGAAAAUGUUUUGUUACUGAAGCAAAGCUGUCUGUCAUCAGAGAACUCACACAGGAGAAAAACCAUUCUCAUGUACAUAUUGUUGAAAAGGUUUUGUCACUAAAGCAGAGCUCUUCAGUCAUCAGAGAACUCACACAAGAGAGAAACCAUUAUCUUGUUCUAAAUGUGGAAAAUGCCUUUUAACUGUCACUCAGCUCUUGUUAUACAACAGCGAACUCACACAGAAGAAAAACCGUUUUCAUUAGUGUUGUUGCGAACGAUUUUUGGCGAACUCCGGUCAGCUGACACAUCCCGGCCAAUCUCCAGCAGACCCUCCCUCCCACCUCCUGGACAGCAUCCAUGUUGAAGCUGCCUUCAACAUGGAUGCUGUCCAGGAGGAGGGAGGGUCUGCUGGAGAUUGGCCGGGAUGUGUCUGCUGACCGCAAACGGUUCGUGGCGAACUCCGAACAGUUUGCGACAACACUACUUCUCAUGUUCUGAAUGUGGAAAAUGUUUUACUCAACAUUCACAUCUUCUUAUUAUACAUCAGAGAACUCACACAGGUGGUGAGUCUCUAAAAUGUUAUAAUGCAUAGAUGCAUUAACAUAGGAAAAAAAGAUCUUGUGUGAAUUGUCUCUUGCUGACACAAUAAAUAGUAACUGUGAUGGUAGCAGUCAAUGUACAUAUGAUGCUAUCAUCCGGGGUGCCUAACCUGCACUGCCAAUUCUAAAGGCUAGUUCCCCCAACCCAUGUUAAUACAGACUUCAAGCAAAGGUUAUGUUUACUUCUAUUUCUCUAGGGUUUUUCUUAGGGCAUACAAUGCAGCUGAGACUAUAACUAAUAAAUAUACCAAUUUUGUCACAUUAUCAAAUCAGACAUUCAUAAUUUGGAGUCAAAUAAAGAGCCUUCUGAAAAAUAUUUAAUGAGCUUUAAAAUAUCUGUGUUGCAGGAUUUGUUUCUUUGUAAUAUUAUCAUUCUUGUAUUAGUUGCAAAUUACAUGAUUUCAGACUUUUUUCAUACACAGGAACUGAGGCCCUACCUACACAUCUAAUAUUAAUUAUAGUACUUAUGUCCACUGUAUAUCAAUGGUCAACACAUAUGGUUUUUGUUCAGAUAGAUUGAUAAAGGCCUGCUGUUAUAACCUUCAACCCAGCAAUCCAGGCCAGACUCAAAUAUGUGUUAAGAAGGGCCUCUUUCUGAAUGUAUUCAUUUAAACAUAUAUAGUAAUUCCUAUAACCAUUUUUAUAAUGUUUGGCUCUAACUAUAGAUUGGCAGAAUGGGGAUUAAUUCGCGACCCAUUUUACACUUGUUUUAAAGAAUCAAAUAACCUUAUACUUGUGUACUCAUCCUAAUUAACUGAAUUCUUAGACAUAUAAAAGCUUUCGCAGAUAAAUAUUCACCACCAAUACUUUUGCAUCAAAAAUGGAUAUUAACUUGAAGUGCAUACAAAUUGCUGUAUUGGUCCAGAUGUGUGCCAAGAUAUUUUAUUUUCGGAUGGUGUGUAUUGUUUGAAUAAAUAUUAAAAAUGUUGUACUUUA
This 3275-nucleotide long non-coding RNA is filed under the name Pelobates cultripes (western spadefoot toad). The record is from RNAcentral. Lineage: Eukaryota; Metazoa; Chordata; Amphibia; Anura; Pelobatidae.